RNAcentral lists this unclassified non-coding RNA (406 nucleotides) under soil metagenome. RNAcentral's name for it is "partial contains 5.8S ribosomal RNA, internal transcribed spacer 2, and large subunit ribosomal RNA". The stretch from base 1 to 121 matches the Rfam family "5.8S ribosomal RNA", at positions 35 to 154 of the family's 154-position model. The record is from RNAcentral.
GAUGAAGAACGCAGCGAAAUGCGAUAAGUAAUGUGAAUUGCAGAAUUCAGUGAAUCAUCGAAUCUUUGAACGCACCUUGCGCCCUUUGGCCAUUCCGAAGGGCAUGCCUGUUUGAGUAUCAUGAACACCUCAACUCUUCAUGGUUUUCCAUGAUGAGCUUGGACUUUGGGGGUCUUGCUGGCCUGUGGGUCGGCUCCUCUCAAAUGAAUCAGCUUGCCGGUUUUUGGUGGGCAUCACAGGUGUGAUAACUAUCUACGCUUGUGGUUUUCCACCAGGGUAACCUUCAGCAGUGGAGGUUCACUGGAGCUUACAAAUGUCUCACCUCUGUGAGGACAGCCCUUUGAAUGUUUGAUCUCAAAUCAGGUAGGACUACCCGCUGAACUUAAGCAUAUCAAUAAGCGGAGGA